GACGAACGCUGGCGGCGUGCUUAACACAUGCAAGUCGAACGGAAAGGCCCUGCUUUUGUGGGGUGCUCGAGUGGCGAACGGGUGAGUAACACGUGAGUAGCCUGCCCUUGACUUUGGGAUAACUUCAGGAAACUGGGGCUAAUACCGGAUAGGAGCUCCUGCUGCAUGGUGGGGGUUGGAAAGUUUCGGCGGUUGGGGAUGGACUCGCGGCUUAUCAGCUUGUUGGUGGGGUAGUGGCUUACCAAGGCUUUGACGGGUAGCCGGCCUGAGAGGGUGACCGGCCGCAUUGGGACUGAGAUACGGCCCAGACUCCUACGGGAGGCAGCAGUGGGGAAUAUUGCACAAUGGGCGGAAGCCUGAUGCAGCAACGCCGCGUGCGGGAUGACGGCCUUCGGGUUGUAAACCGCUUUCGCCUGUGACGAAGCGUGAGUGACGGUAAUGGGUAAAGAAGCACCGGCUAACUACGUG
This 468-nucleotide ribosomal RNA is filed under the name uncultured bacterium. RNAcentral's name for it is "partial 16S ribosomal RNA". It matches the Rfam family "Bacterial small subunit ribosomal RNA", at positions 28 to 507 of the family's 1533-position model. The record is from RNAcentral.